Molecule: long non-coding RNA, 432 nt
Organism: Hemibagrus wyckioides
Lineage: Eukaryota; Metazoa; Chordata; Actinopteri; Siluriformes; Bagridae
Exons: 3
Source: RefSeq, a predicted model, not a curated record
GGGAGGAGCAGCUCCACAACUUCCUCAUUGAUGGUGUCUUUUGGGAAUUGCUGCAAAGACGUGAAUAUUCGUUUUAGUACAAAUAAGAUGCAGUUGUAUACAGCUCUAGCUCAUCAGGCUUGACAUAUUAGUUUUUCAGAUACCUGCAGGCUCCCCAGGAAAUUCCCGGCUGUCAUGAGCUUAAGUGACUCUUGCCAUGAUGGAGUUAGGCAGUUCCUCUCAGUGUCCAGCUUCACGGAGUUCAGUCUCCUCUGGAAGAGCAGCAGCACACAGUCCAUAAUGCGCAUGAUGAGCAAUGCACCAAAUCAUUCUUUUAAUUGGUCAUCAGGAGCCUGAAUCUGACCUGCAGCGCCGCCUCAGCCUCCUCCAGCGCUGGCCUGGCUGCCUCAAGCUUCUCCUCAGCCACAGCCUUGUCUGCAGAGAUGCUGUCCA